Long non-coding RNA from Scatophagus argus, 648 nucleotides. RefSeq lists it as uncharacterized. The record is from RefSeq and is a predicted model, not a curated record. The transcript has 4 exons. Lineage: Eukaryota; Metazoa; Chordata; Actinopteri; Scatophagidae.
CCAAAAUAAAACAGACUCAGAGAGCUGCAGUCUCCAGCAGAAACAGGCGAAAAUUCCAUUUCCUGCGGUCGUUUGGGGAGUGACUGCAGUGAAGCCUCUGGAAGGAAAAGCCCCAUUAUGGUUUCAGUGCGGGUUGGAAGGACUUGACUUGAAGGAGCCACACUGCUCACUGCCAGAGUGCCACUGCUCCAGAAAUACAACCAGUAUGACCUCAACUGAUGCACACUUCGUGGACAGUGGAUAAAAGAGCCAGAGCAGAGUGAUGAAGGAAGAGAGAGCGAGGGAGAAAAGACUGAAGGCACAAUGUAUGGCCAAAAAUUGACAGAAAUGCACCAACUCAUUGCAUGAAGGGGGAUGUAAAGAAGUUGCCAUCUCCUCUGAGAAAAAGAACCAACACCGCUCCUGUCAAAUUGUCACUUAUUUAACAGUUUGUUUAUCUGCUCUUUUUGUUAAUUUCACACACAUGACCACUGGCCAACACAUGCACACGAUUUCACAUACGUCCUCACAAAACAGUCAGCAUCAUAAAUAAACAAUUUCUCCACAGAACAUACUGUGGUUUAUUUAUUCAGAGAGUCAAAUUGCACACACAAACACACACAUACAUGUGUGCACAAACACACACCCUCGUCUCAGCUCUCUCGUUUC